AAACAACUUUGAUCAUAAUAUCUUUAAGGAAGGAGACACUUUUAUAGAACAAUCGUCCCGGGGCAGGAGCACCACCACUUUUCCAGCAGUUCCAUCAUUUGACAGCAACUCCACUGUAGGCCGGCAUACAGAAGUAUUCUAUAGCAGAUAUUCAUUACAACAGAGUGUCUUAGCUGCUCCUGCCCCAGGCAUUACUGUGGGAUCAGCCGCGAUGAAAAGUGAGCUAGAUGAUGUCGAACGACUGAAUGAGAUUUCGCAGGAUGCAGAGAAGCUGGAUGAGCCGUGGACAAGAGAAAAAAAUGAUUUGAGUCACAGAAAGAAAUAUUUCAAAGA
Sinocyclocheilus rhinocerous is the source of this 333-nucleotide long non-coding RNA. RefSeq lists it as uncharacterized. The transcript is spliced from 3 exons. The record is from RefSeq and is a predicted model, not a curated record. NCBI's taxonomy places the organism in Eukaryota, Metazoa, Chordata, Actinopteri, Cypriniformes, Cyprinidae.